GACGGAGGGGGCUAGCGUUGUUCGGAAUGACUGGGCGUAAAGGGCGCGUAGGCGGUUUUUUAAGUUAGGCGUGAAAGCCCUGGGCUUAACCCAGGAGGUGCGUUUAAGACUGGAAGACUUGAGUGUGAGAGAGGAAAAUGGAAUUCCUAGUGUAGAGGUGAAAUUCGUAGAUAUUAGGAAGAACACCUGUGGCGAAGGCGGUUUUCUGGCUCACAACUGACGCUGAGGCGCGAAAGCGUGGGGAGCAAACAGG
This 253-nucleotide ribosomal RNA is filed under the name uncultured bacterium. RNAcentral describes it as "partial 16S ribosomal RNA". It matches the Rfam family "Bacterial small subunit ribosomal RNA", at positions 524 to 776 of the family's 1533-position model. The record is from RNAcentral.